AAUGUCAGACCUUAUAAAAGAAAGAAAAGGCUACUGUAAGAACAUGUAUGAGUUAUUUGAAAAAUGUAUAAAAAUAUUUCAAGUGUAGAAUAUGAACUAAAAGUAUGAUCACUGCGAUUAUGUGAUGACGUGAUUAGACUAUGUGCUGACUGUAAUAGACAGUACUAUGUGUUAUGAUAUAUUGUUCUAAUCGAACGAAUGAUCUGAUU
This 209-nucleotide long non-coding RNA is filed under the name Panax ginseng (ginseng). RNAcentral's name for it is "long non-coding RNA (PGIN_LNC010706)". The record is from RNAcentral. Lineage: Eukaryota; Viridiplantae; Streptophyta; Magnoliopsida; Apiales; Araliaceae.